ACAUAUCAGCAUCUAAGAUUAGAUUUUCCUUUCCCAUACCCCUAUGUCUACUACUUCAGAAGACUCCUGCAAUGGCAUGAACGGAUCUUGGAGCUUCUGGAAGAGUCCCAGAAGGGAUUGCAAGAGUUUAUAAGGGAUGCUUUCUGGACACCAGGUAAAAAGAUAAUAAAAAAUCAUCCAUCUCUGAGGCAUCCCUUUAUCCCACCAAUUCGCAUCAAAGACCCUUGAACUGAAAGACCUCUGGACAGCUAUAAAGAAUGAAUUAUUUCUUGACACUCCCUUGAGAUUUUAUGGAUCUCUCAAACCAUCCUAAGAACGUCUGUACCUGCACAACCUUCAAAGGACUUUGAAAGACCUCAUCUAGGGUGGGGAAAUGCAUUGUUUCCUGAUUCUGUUGUCUUUACUGUCACCCUACAACUCACUCCUGGACAUUUUUAUGCUCAAGAACUACUGGCCUGCUAAAAUGACUUAAACUUUAUUGGGGCAUUUGCAAGCCUGACCCCUUCAAGCAAUCGCUGUCUGCCUAAAAGACUGAAUACUUGGUUAAGAACUUUUUAAACAAUCUCAAUGACUAAUGCAUUCUUUGUGAGGACUUCAGAAACACUCCAAAGGCACCUUUAUUAUUAUUUAUUUAUUAUAAGACUGCUUAAGCACUUCAGAUGAUUUGCAAUGCAUGCAGAUUUCCAAGACUCUAUUUGGAUCCUCUGAAGUUCUGACACAUCCUGCAUUUCCCAGGUUUGUUCACUAAAUUUAGCUUGCUGGCUGGCUGCAUCUGUGGCUAGUGACAAUACUGCAGAGAGGCCUCGUGGGACAAUUCAAAGAGCCAUUCAGCAGCCCGUUGAGCUUUGCAAGGGAUCGCAGUGACAGAGCGUGCGGCAGUGACGCCUCGGGGUCUUUUCCCAGCCUCCUCGCCCGG
This is a long non-coding RNA of Melanotaenia boesemani (Boeseman's rainbowfish), 916 nucleotides long. RefSeq lists it as uncharacterized. The transcript is spliced from 3 exons. Lineage: Eukaryota; Metazoa; Chordata; Actinopteri; Atheriniformes; Melanotaeniidae. The record is from RefSeq and is a predicted model, not a curated record.